AUAUAUACAGUGAAAACAGCAUGAAUAAUGGAACCUUUAAUCCUUAUUUCUCAAAAUUAGAUUCUACUUUAUCCUUCUCCCCUUUCCUCUCUUAAAAAAAAAAAAAAAAUCUCAGUGCUUAGCAGAAUAGAUGUUGUCCAAACCUUAGCUCUAAGCAGAUUCUGUGGUAUUUCCAUUCCAGGACCAGGUCCCAUUGCAGAUCCGAUUUCUGGGUGGAUUGAUUGCAUUUCUUCCCCUGGUCACUUCACACGUGACUCGGGAGAAAUUAACAUCAUCCCUGUCACAGCGGAAGAGAUGAAUGCAUUGACAAAGAAGACAGAAUAGGAAAAU
Molecule: long non-coding RNA, 330 nt
Filed under: Canis lupus familiaris (dog)
Lineage: Eukaryota; Metazoa; Chordata; Mammalia; Carnivora; Canidae
Description: lncRNA (ENSCAFG00030004253.1)
Source: RNAcentral